AAACAAAAAUAAAAUUCGAGCAGGGAAAAUAGAAAGAAAAAGAAAUUCGUGCACCAGAAAUGUCUGAAAAAAAAAAUUCGUGCAGAGACUUUUCAUUUGGGAAAAUUACAGGACCUAUCGGAGGUACAGUGUAAGGGUGUUCCCUGAAAUUUCGAAAAUAAGCUUUUUCAUCGUGUUUCAAGAAGUUUUUUCGGGGAAAAUGUGUUUUAAACCUAAUUGAAUUGAUCUUAGUCCUAAAAUUUUUUUUUUGACCCUAUUUCUCUUUGUCCUGCAAAAAUUUUUGAGUCCGGAAUAAAAUUUUUCCUAACCCCCCNNNNNNNNNNNNNNNNNNNNCCCCAGCAAUUUUUGGAAUAAAGAAGAAAAAAAAUUCGAGCAAGGGAUUAUUUAAAAAAAAAAUAACCGACACAGCAAAACAUUUUGAAAAAAAAAUCGUGCACGUUGAAAAUGGACCACCCCCCCAUCACUUUUCUAAUGGUCCGCCCCUUAG
This 487-nucleotide long non-coding RNA is filed under the name Paramuricea clavata. The record is from RNAcentral. Lineage: Eukaryota; Metazoa; Cnidaria; Anthozoa; Malacalcyonacea; Plexauridae.